Molecule: long non-coding RNA, 1005 nt
Filed under: Vulpes vulpes (red fox)
Lineage: Eukaryota; Metazoa; Chordata; Mammalia; Carnivora; Canidae
Description: lncRNA (ENSVVUG00000028992.1)
Source: RNAcentral
AUUCAGACUAGCCACAAGUAACUACCAUGUUUGAAAGCAUAGUUCUAGAAUCUUCUCUGCCAGGUGAACCCUAUUAUGAGUAGGCACAUUCCUUAAAUCCCUAGAGUCCAGCUAGUCUGACUGCAAUGGCUAACAAAAUUUUAUUGUUGUAAUACUGAAAAGAGAAGCUUAAAAUAGACAUCUGCCCUCCCUUGCCUUGGUGUACAGAGCCUUGCCCCUCCAGAAGGUCCUCUAGCCUGAAGUGUGGCUGUUGCGACGUUAUCAGAACUGGCCUCUCCCUCAGGAAGGAGAGUACCUUUGGCCAGGCCACNCUUAAAUCCCUAGAGUCCAGCUAGUCUGACUGCAAUGGCUAACAAAAUUUUAUUAUUGUAAUACUGAAAAGAGAAGCUUAAAAUAGACAUCUGCCCUCCCUGGCCUUGGUGUACAGAGCCUUGCCCCUCCAGAAGGUCCUCUAGCCUGAAGUGUGGCUGCUGCCAUGUUAUCAGAACUGGCCUCUCCCUCAGGAAGGAGAGUACCUUUGGCCAGGCCAACUCUGCCCACUGUCAGUACGAGAACCCCCACCAGCCCCAUGGAAAACAGAACUCUCACUUCUUGCCUCCUCCCCUCCUGUUGCCUGGGAUACAACCUGAUUCUGCACGUCACUGCGGGAUAUUGUCUGCAGGUCCCGGCUAACAGAAAAAUAAUUUUUAAGAAACUACGCAAAGGAUGAUCAAACCAUGGUACCUGCCUACAUUUGACAGCACGUCGAUGAAAUAGAUCUCUGAGCGCUGACAUGCAAAGAGCUCCAAGACCCAGCACUUGAUGUUGUUUUUUUAAAAAGGAAAAAAAAAAAAAGGAACAUCAAGCAAAGCCAUGGAUUUCUAUAGAAACAUAUAUAUGUGGGGAUCCAUGGGUGGCGCAGCGGUUUGGCGCCUGCCUUUGGUCCAGGGCGCGAUCCUGGAGACCCAGGAUCGAAUCCCACAUCGGGCUCCCGGUGCAUGGAGCCUGCUUCUCCCUCUGCCUAUG